Molecule: ribosomal RNA, 750 nt
Filed under: uncultured bacterium
Lineage: Bacteria
Description: bacterial SSU rRNA
Rfam family: Bacterial small subunit ribosomal RNA
Source: RNAcentral
GGUCAAUACUGGCAGUCGAGCGAGCUUGCCUAGAUGAUUUUAGUUGCUUGCACUAAAUGAAACUAGAUACAAGCGAGCGGCGGACGGGUGAGUAACACGUGGGUAACCUGCCCAAGAGACUGGGAUAACACCUGGAAACAGAUGCUAAUACCGGAUAACAACACUAGACGCAUGUCUAGAGUUUGAAAGAUGGUUCUGCUAUCACUCUUGGAUGGACCUGCGGUGCAUUAGCUAGUUGGUAAGGUAACGGCUUACCAAGGCAAUGAUGCAUAGCCGAGUUGAGAGACUGAUCGGCCGCAUUGGGACUGAGACACGGCCCAAACUCCUACGGGAGGCAGCAGUAGGGAAUCUUCCACAAUGGACGAAAGUCUGAUGGAGCAACGCCGCGCGAGUGAAGAAGGGUUUCGGCUCGUAAAGCUCUGUUGGUAGUGAAGAAAGAUAGAGGUAGUAACUGGCCUUUAUUUGACGGUAAUUACUUAGAAAGUCACGGCUAACUACGUGCCAGCAGCCGCGGUAAUACGUAGGUGGCAAGCGUUGUCCGGAUUUAUUGGGCGUAAAGCGAGUGCAGGCGGUUCAAUAAGUCUGAUGUGAAAGCCUUCGGCUCAACCGGAGAAUUGCAUCAGAAACUGUUGAACUUGAGUGCAGAAGAGGAGAGUGGAACUCCAUGUGUAGCGGUUGAAUGCGUAGAUAUAUGGAAGAACACCAGUGGCGAAGGCGGCUCUCUGGUCUGCAACUGACGCUGAGGCUCGA